UCCGGCGUAGCUCAGUGGUAGAGCGGGUGACUGUUAAUCACCUGGUCGUAGGUUCGAGUCCUACCGCCGGAGCCA
Molecule: transfer RNA, 75 nt
Filed under: Chloroflexota bacterium
Lineage: Bacteria; Bacillati; Chloroflexota
Description: tRNA-Asn
Rfam family: tRNA
About the family: Transfer RNA (tRNA) molecules are approximately 80 nucleotides in length.
Source: RNAcentral